CCUACGGGAGGCAGCAGUGGGGAAUAUUGCACAAUGGGGGAAACCCUGAUGCAGCGACGCCGCGUGAAGGAAGAAGGAUUUCGGUAUGUAAAAUUCUAUCAGCAGGGGAGAAAAUGACGGUACGUGACUAAGAAGCCCCGGCUAACUACGUGCCAGCAGCCGCGGUAAUACGUAGGGGGCAAGCGUUAUCCGGAUUUACUGGGUGUAAAGGGAGCGUAGGCGGUGUCGCAAGACAGAAGUGAAAGCCCUGGGCUCAACACCGGGACUGCUUGUGAAACUGUUGAACUAGAUUGCAGGAGAGGUAAGUGGAAUUCCUAGUGUAGCGGUGAAAUGCGUAGAUAUUAGGAGGAACACCAGUGGCGAAGGCGGCUUACUGGACUGUAAAUGACGCUGAGGCUCGAAAGCGUGGGGAGCGAACAGGAUUAGAUACCCGUGUAGUC
This 440-nucleotide ribosomal RNA is filed under the name uncultured bacterium. Its description in RNAcentral is "partial 16S ribosomal RNA". It matches the Rfam family "Bacterial small subunit ribosomal RNA", at positions 338 to 795 of the family's 1533-position model. The record is from RNAcentral.